UUUAGAUUCAUUGAAUAAUCAAUAUAUAUGAUCUAUUACAUAAUUCAUAUAUAUUGAUUAUUCAAUAAAUAUAAUAAUAUUUUUUUUAUAAAUAGAACCUGAUAUAUAUUAGAAUCAUUUCAACUUUACACACUUGCUCAAACAGAAUCCUCACUUCAAUUUUAAGUGAAACCUCGUUUUUGGUUUUGAUGGCUUUGAUUUCAGCAAUCUUGAAUUUCUUUGGGAUCUCUUCAAGUUUAUCAUCUCAAGAUUAUGAUUAUAAAGAGAAAUUAUCUGAGUCAUAUUGUUCAUGUUCAGAUAAACCACAUAGUAUGGAAAAAUCAAAAGGAGCUUCAAUUGUAGUUCAUUAUUUUCCUGUUAACAAUUCUCCCUCACGCUUGUAGACAAGCCAGCAGUAAUAAUAAUAUUAUUAUUCUUCUUCGUC
RNAcentral lists this long non-coding RNA (424 nucleotides) under Lathyrus oleraceus (garden pea). RNAcentral's name for it is "Pisum sativum (pea) long non-coding RNA (PSAT_LNC021381)". The record is from RNAcentral. Lineage: Eukaryota; Viridiplantae; Streptophyta; Magnoliopsida; Fabales; Fabaceae.